This 209-nucleotide unclassified non-coding RNA is filed under the name Hevea brasiliensis (rubber tree). Lineage: Eukaryota; Viridiplantae; Streptophyta; Magnoliopsida; Malpighiales; Euphorbiaceae. The record is from RNAcentral.
GUCAAAUCAAUACAACAUGAAAGCAUGGUUUCAAAUUAUAGGUUUUUUGGGCUGCCAUAACCGUUACACCCGUUAAAUUACAGGUUCUAAAAAUUGUAGCUGCCACGGUUGCUACGACCGUUACGUAACUGUUACCAACCAUUACAUAAUGCCAUUACUUGACCUACUUUGCAUUUCCACCUCUGUUUCACAUCUACUUCACCUCCAUG